This 875-nucleotide long non-coding RNA is filed under the name Hordeum vulgare. Its description in RNAcentral is "long non-coding RNA (HVUL_LNC007654)". Lineage: Eukaryota; Viridiplantae; Streptophyta; Magnoliopsida; Poales; Poaceae. The record is from RNAcentral.
UUGUAUUCAUCCUGAAGAUGAUGUUCAAAGAAAUGCGAACAAAAGUGAGAGAGACAUGCACUUAGUUUUUUUUAGUAGGAAGUUGUGCGCGCAUAGACACGGUACCACACCAUUCAAGAUAAUUAACGGAAACUAGACAUAAACAUAGGCCAAGUUCAAAUCAAAAUAUGUAACUGUGAAGCCAAAUCAAACAAACGAAUAUGUUUAGCCAACCAAGCAGGAGAGCACUAACCAAACAAUGCUUCCCAGCUAGCUAGUACACUAGAACGUGACCAUCCAACACGCAUACACGCAUCAUGCAGGAAUAUAUAUGAACAUUUUUCUGUAAGGGGGAAAUCAAGACCUUAUUAACCAAACAAUGCUUCCUAGCUAGCUAGUACACUAGAACGUGACCAUCCAACACGCAUACACGCAUCAUGCAGGAAUAUAUAUGAACAUUUUUCUGUAAGGGGGAAAUCAAGACCUUAUUUUGGAAGGACUAAAGAGCUCUUGAACGAGUUCUAGUCAUCAAGUAUAUAAAUCAAGCAAUGCUCCACUUCUAAUUUAUUCCAGUAUUUUUACUUCUAAUAUAUUCCAGUAUUUUUCGACAUGUGUGAUGCUUUUCUGGAAACAUGGAGUAGAAGUAUUUUUGGAAACAUGAAAAAGCAUGAUUUAUUAUCCUGGAGUCUAGACAAGAGUUGUUCUGAGCAUUGUUACUCGAGCGAAGAGGAUGACUAAAAGCGUUCAAUGGUUGAGAAUAUACCAACAGCUUCAAACUCUCCUAACGAAAGAUUCAAGUGCUGGAAAUCUAGAAGCGGGACAGAUUAUACAGUUACCUGAGUGGAGUAAGGGACAGUUUCCAACAUAGAAAUUUCAAACAAAUGAGUCCAUUUCCU